RNAcentral lists this long non-coding RNA (766 nucleotides) under Zonotrichia albicollis (white-throated sparrow). RNAcentral's name for it is "lncRNA (ENSZALG00000001087.1)". Lineage: Eukaryota; Metazoa; Chordata; Aves; Passeriformes; Passerellidae. The record is from RNAcentral.
CGGAACCGGCAAUCCCGGAAGUGGCGGAACCAAAAAUGCCGGAACCAAAAAUUCCGGAAAUGGAGGAACCCGGAACGCCGGAAAUGGCGGACCCGGAAGUGUCGGAAUUGCCGGAAGCGGAAGUGUCGGAAUCGGGAAGUUUUUGGGGGUUUUGGGGGGGGGAGAAGAAGUCCAGGUUGUCCUUGGCCAGGAAUUGGAGGGACUGGAGGAGAUCCAUGGUGGGAUUGGGGGGGGUUACUGGUUUAUACUGGUUUGUACUGGGAGGGGUUAAAAGGGGGUUUGGGGGUUACUGGUUUAUACUGGGAGGGACUGGGAGGGACUGGGAGGGGUUAAAAGGAGAUUUGAGGGUUACUGGUUUAUACUGGUUUGUACUGGGAGGGGAUUGGGAUAAACUGGGAGGGACUGGGAGGGAACUGGGAGGGAGUUUGGGGUUACUGGUUUAUACUGGUUUGUACUGGGAGGGGGUUAAAAGGGGGUUGGGGGUUACUGGUUUAUACUGGGAUGGGGUUUGGGGUUACUGGGAUGGACUGGGAGGGUCCUGGAAGGUCCAAACUGGUUCAAACCGGUUCCAACUGGUCCAAACUGGUCCAAACUGGUCCUGGAAGAUUCUAAACUGGUCCAAACUGGUUCUGGGAGGGUCCUGGAAGGUCCAAACUUUUCAAACUGGUCCUGGGUGGUUCGAAACCGGUUCCAACUGGUUCAAACUGGUCUUGGGGGGGGUCCUGGAGCGGUUCCAAACUGGUCCAAACUUGUCCUGGAAGAUUCU